Molecule: ribosomal RNA, 477 nt
Filed under: uncultured bacterium
Lineage: Bacteria
Description: partial 16S ribosomal RNA
Rfam family: Bacterial small subunit ribosomal RNA
Source: RNAcentral
AUUGAACGCUGGCGGCAUGCCUUACACAUGCAAGUCGAACGGUAACAGGUUAAGCUGACGAGUGGCGAACGGGUGAGUAAUGUAUCGGAACGUGCCCAGUCGUGGGGGAUAACUGCUCGAAAGAGCAGCUAAUACCGCAUACGACCUGAGGGUGAAAGCGGGGGAUCGCAAGACCUCGCGCGAUUGGAGCGGCCGAUAUCAGAUUAGGUAGUUGGUGAGGUAAAGGCUCACCAAGCCGACGAUCUGUAGCUGGUCUGAGAGGACGACCAGCCACACUGGGACUGAGACACGGACCAGACUCCUACGGGAGGCAGCAGUGGGGAAUUUUGGACAAUGGGCGCAAGCCUGAUCCAGCCAUGCCGCGUGCGGGAAGAAGGCCUUCGGGUUGUAAAGCGCUUUUGUCAGGGAAGAAAAGGUUCUGGCUAAUACCUGGGACUCAUGACGGUACCUGAAGAAUAAGCACCGGCUAACUACGUG